Molecule: unclassified non-coding RNA, 240 nt
Filed under: soil metagenome
Description: partial contains 5.8S ribosomal RNA, internal transcribed spacer 2, and large subunit ribosomal RNA
Source: RNAcentral
AACGCACGAGACCUGCGGACCUGCGGAGGGAUCAUUCGUGAAGCAGGCGCUCCGUCGCCCUUCUCUACCCUUCAACCAUGUGGUCUUCUGCCAUUGCCUCGGGGGGGUUUGAGGCGGCCUCGGCCGUCGGGGCCCCUUGCUGGGCCCCGCCCCCCCGCGUGCCCUUGAUAAAGUCUUGGAGUGAUAUUUGCGUCUGAUCUGUCCGGUGGACAUAAUGAAAAUAAAACUUUUAACAACGGA